GUGCAGUAGUGUGCUUGUAGGUAAGUAUGUUAAUGUGGGACGGUCGGUCUCGUUAAACCCGUUUCAACAUGGCUAGAUAUUUAUUUCACCACCAUGGUAAAAUAUAUGUAAGCACAUAUGUAUGCAUAAUGCAUGUCACAUAAGUGUCGACAUGUCUCACAUCAAUGUGUUUAGUUCUGUUUAAUCACAUAAACAAUAAUACAGAAACAAAAUUUGUGUUUAGUUCGGU
RNAcentral lists this long non-coding RNA (229 nucleotides) under Arabidopsis lyrata. RNAcentral's name for it is "long non-coding RNA (ALYR_LNC001268)". The record is from RNAcentral. Lineage: Eukaryota; Viridiplantae; Streptophyta; Magnoliopsida; Brassicales; Brassicaceae.